AACGCGAAGAACCUUACCAAGGCUUGACAUGCAUUAGAUCGCGUCAGAGUUGGCGUUUCCCUUCGGGGCUGGUGUACAGGUGGUGCAUGGUUGUCGUCAGCUCGUGUCGUGAGAUGUUGGGUUAAGUCCCGCAACGAGCGCAACCCUCGUUCUAUGUUGCCAGCGGUUCGGCCGGGGACUCAUAGGAGACUGCCGGGGUCAACUCGGAGGAAGGUGGGGAUGACGUCAAAUCAUCAUGCCCCUUAUGUCUUGGGCUUCACGCAUGCUACAAUGGCCGGUACAGAGGGCUGCGAUACUGUGAGGUGGAGCUAAUCCCUUAAAGCCGGUCUCAGUUCGGAUUGGAGUCUGCAACUCGACCCCAUGAAGUCGGAGCCGCUAGUAAUCGUAG
RNAcentral lists this ribosomal RNA (388 nucleotides) under uncultured Rothia sp. RNAcentral's name for it is "bacterial SSU rRNA". It matches the Rfam family "Bacterial small subunit ribosomal RNA", at positions 958 to 1347 of the family's 1533-position model. The record is from RNAcentral. Lineage: Bacteria; Bacillati; Actinomycetota; Actinomycetes; Micrococcales; Micrococcaceae.